AACCUUUGAGUUUCGGUUAUUAUUGAGGCUUCAAGAGUUGUAGAGUUAUUGGACAUCAUUUGGUAGCUCGUUGACGUGCUCAGAGUUGCUUCCGGUUCUUUGAAAUCAAGUUAUACAGGAGUCAUUCCAGGUUCCAUUCCACUUGCCCCUCAGUAGAUCUUAGUCAUUUCGGUGAGCCCUUCUUCUUUCCA
Molecule: non-coding RNA, 191 nt
Organism: Arachis ipaensis
Lineage: Eukaryota; Viridiplantae; Streptophyta; Magnoliopsida; Fabales; Fabaceae
Source: RefSeq, a predicted model, not a curated record